UACGGAGGGUGCAAGCGUUAUCCGGAUUCACUGGGUUUAAAGGGUGCGUAGGUGGAUUAGUAAGUCAGUGGUGAAAUCUCCGGGCUUAACCCGGAAACUGCCAUUGAUACUAUUAGUCUUGAAUACCGUGGAGGUCAGCGGAAUAUGUCAUAUAGCGGUGAAAUGCUUAGAUAUGACAUAGAACACCAAUUGCGAAGGCAGCUGGCUACACGAGCAUUGACACUCAGGCACGAAAGCGUGGGGAUCAAACAGG
This 253-nucleotide ribosomal RNA is filed under the name uncultured bacterium. Its description in RNAcentral is "partial 16S ribosomal RNA". It matches the Rfam family "Bacterial small subunit ribosomal RNA", at positions 524 to 776 of the family's 1533-position model. The record is from RNAcentral.